Molecule: ribosomal RNA, 678 nt
Filed under: uncultured compost bacterium
Lineage: Bacteria
Description: bacterial SSU rRNA
Rfam family: Bacterial small subunit ribosomal RNA
Source: RNAcentral
GGCGCCUAAUUGAUACUCGCUGUUUGCGAUACACAGCAAGCGGCUUAGCGAAAGCGUUAAGUAAUCCACCUGGGGAGUACGUUCGCAAGAAUGAAACUCAUAGGAAUUGACGGGGGCCCGCACAAGCGGAGGAACAUGUGGUUUAAUUCGAUGAUACGCGAGGAACCUUACCCGGGCUUGAAAUGCAUCUGACCGGCACAGAGACGUGCCUUCCCUUCGGGGCAGAUGUGUAGGUGCUGCAUGGUUGUCGUCAGCUCGUGCCGUGAGGUGUCGGCUUAAGUGCCAUAACGAGCGCAACCCUCAUUGUUAGUUACCAUCAGGUUAAGCUGGGGACUCUAACGAGACUGCCAUCGUAAGAUGCGAGGAAGGUGGGGAUGACGUCAAAUCAGCACGGCCCUUACGUCCGGGGCGACACACGUGUUACAAUGGGUGGUACAAAGGGCAGCUACAUGGCGACAUGAUGCUAAUCUCUAAAACCACUCUCAGUUCGGAUCGAAGUCUGCAACUCGACUUCGUGAAGCUGGAUUCGCUAGUAAUCGCGCAUCAGCCACGGCGCGGUGAAUACGUUCCCGGGCCUUGUACACACCGCCCGUCAAGCCAUGGAAGCUGGGGGUACCUGAAGUCCGUAACCGUAAGGAGCGGCCUAGGGUAAAACUAGUGACUGGGGCUAAGUCGUAA